GCCACCCGGUGAAUGGAACUGAAAUGCUACAGGAGUUUGCUUUGGGAUGGUAGGUGCAGUGCUGCUAAUGGCUGAGGGCAUCACUGAGAUGUUCUGUAACUCACUGCAGGCGAGAUGCCGCUUCAGUAUCCCAUACCUUUGGCUGCUCUUCGUCUACUAUACCUCCUCACACUUCUCCCAGUCACCUUUCCAGCAGCUGUGAUUCCAGCUGAUUUUGGCCACCCACAUUGAUCU
Molecule: long non-coding RNA, 234 nt
Filed under: Homo sapiens (human)
Lineage: Eukaryota; Metazoa; Chordata; Mammalia; Primates; Hominidae
Description: HSALNT0077064
Source: RNAcentral